GCCCCUUGCAAUGGGCAAAGAGACACCUUGUUGUUGGUGGUGUUCUUAUAUCUGUCAAGGUCAGAGCCGAUGGCAGUCCUUUGUUCCUCCUAGCUUGAUGCCUGACCUGGAGGCCAAAGCCAUCUUAUGCCUGAGACACAUAG
Psammomys obesus (fat sand rat) is the source of this 143-nucleotide small nucleolar RNA. RefSeq annotates it as small nucleolar RNA SNORA48. The transcript has a single exon. The record is from RefSeq and is a predicted model, not a curated record. NCBI's taxonomy places the organism in Eukaryota, Metazoa, Chordata, Mammalia, Rodentia, Muridae.